AGGCCAAUUAAAAUUAAUUGAUAGAUUUUCAUCCCCGCCCGCCCCUCUGAAAUCUUCCCGCCCCGAUUUUUUUUUAUUUUUGAAAAAAAUUACGAUUUCCGGAUUUUGUUCAUUUCCGUUACCGGUAACCGUCGAUAAUUUCGUUUCAUGUAAAACUUCCUGUUUCAAAUUUCGGUUUUCGUAUUUCUUAGAGUAUUCUUACUGAAUGAUUAAGUCGAUAUAUUCUGCUGAUCUAUGAUGACAACAUCAUUUACCGAGAAUAGAGAUUGAUUACGAGAAGGGCGUGAAAUAUUCGGGUUACGAGUAAUACGCUGUGUCCAAGAACGCAAAUCGCCGUAUGUCACAAAUGACACAAAUGUUUGUGAGUAAAACACCUUGGAUUUUUUUAUUUAUACAAUGACUUUGUGUCAAGAAAUUUGGACUGUGAAUGAAACCCAAAAGCGUAAGAAUCGUGGAACACAUUUGACUGGAAUAAAGAAAUUGACACAAGCAUGAACUUUUUAGAUUGGUGACCGUAUUUUGAGUUCAGAAAAUCGACAAACAUACGCAUUUUUAAUUUAUUAAUUUAUAGCAAGCUCUUAGAUUUAGAUUUAGCCAUGCCUUUCGUUUUUUGUAGAAAAACAGCAAACAUCCUCUGUCCCAAUACCCACGAUAGAGUCAUUAAACAACUUUAUGUUCUACAUUGUAAUUAUAUUUGCAUCUUGCAUAUUAAGGACCAACCCUAUUAUUUCAACACUGUUUGAGUUUUCAUUUUAUUCUGUACUUAUCGUACUCGUGUUGCAUACCAAUGCAUUUGCUUCAUUUUAUUAGGACAACAAAACAUUGCUUAGAAAGCAAAAUACAUUUGAUGUAGGUAGUCCAACUGAAGAGAGCAUUUCUCCACAUUUCUGCUGUUUACUAUAAAAUAGGUUUCUAAAGCGGCAAUUACAUGUAGAACAGUGGUUGCCAAUCAGAGAUAUAUAUUUACGAAUUUGAAAAAGCGGCACCAGCAUAUGGAGUAUAUGUGUCUCAAUUGAUACGUUACUCUAGAGCUAGCUCAAAGUACGUUGAUUUUGUUGAACGAGGAAUACUGCUUUCUCAAAAGUUGCUAAGACAGGGCUAUGAAUCAAUCAAAUUAAGGUCAUCACUCAAGAAAUUUUAUGGUCGCCAUCAUGAGCUGAUUGGCCAUUAUGACAAAAGUGUGUCAGAAAUCAUAUCUCAGUGAUAUUCUUCCUCAGUCAUAACAACCUUCCAUCAUUACCGAACUGAACAAAGAAAUAACAUGACGGGUGCCGUAUACGGUGCAGGAAAUGCUUACCCUUCCGGAGCACCUGAUUUCACUCCUGGUUUUUAGUGGAGUUCGUGUUGUUUCCUACUUAUUAUUUGUAACUGUUGAUGUAAAUGUCUUUUGUUUUAUGAGUCUUUGGUUACUCCUUGGUUUUGAUUGUUAUUGUCUUAUACACGAUACCUUAUGGAUGUAUUUACAUGAUAUAAGCUUAUUAUUACACUUGCAUAUAUGAAUAACACGUGACAAGAAGGUUUCAUAUGAAAUAAAAAUUUAAAAAAUAAAAUCCUCCCACCCGCCCCAUUUUUUUCAAAAAUUUGGAUGAAAAUCUACUAAUUAAUUUUAGUUGGCCUUA
Molecule: long non-coding RNA, 1619 nt
Filed under: Mytilus galloprovincialis (Mediterranean mussel)
Lineage: Eukaryota; Metazoa; Mollusca; Bivalvia; Mytilida; Mytilidae
Source: RNAcentral